GCAGACAUUACUGGAUAGUCGUCUGCUCCACAUGUGAUUUCUUUACAACCUGAUUGUAUGCAAGUAAUGGAUAUUGUGAAAUGGAACCAGAACAUUUUGGAGAUACUCAGUUAAUCGGUCAGUGUCUGUGGAGACACUAAGACCUUCUUCGGAAUUGGGAGAAAUGGAGAGAGGGUGGAGAAAGCAAGGGAAGAAGUAAAACUGAGGUGAUGUCGAGGCCUUCCAUUAGAACUGGCUAAUUCUGACAAAUUGGUAAACUAGUCAUCAGAAUUUGUUCGACGUUGAGUGCCUAAUCGGAAGGUGAGAUGCUGUUUCUUCAGAUUACUUUGAACGCCUUUGAACUGGAUAAGGGAGUUCUAUGCAGACGGUUGAGAACUACGUUGAGGGGCGUUUAAUUGAAGUCAAUGCAACAAGAGAAAUUUGACCAGAGGAAUCUAUAACCAGGGGACAUAUACUCGGCGUGAUCAGUAGAUGAAAGAGAAGUUGAAGAAUCAUUAUUUUCACCUUAACUGAAGAUAUUGAAAAUAUGUAAUUUUGAACAAUGGCACACCAGAACUGUUCAAAUACUGCAUAUGUAAUGCAUACCUGGGGAUACGAAUUGAUAAUAAACUGGACUGGUUUAAGAACACUGAGGCUGUCUGCAAGAAGGGUCAGAGCCGUCUCUAUUUCCUGAGGAGACUGAGGUCCUUUAACAUCUGUCGGACGAUGCUGAGGAUGUUCUACGAGUCUGUGGUGGCCAGUGCGAUCAUGUUUGCUGUUGUGUGCUGGGGCAGCAGGCUGAGGGUAGCAGACACCAACAGAAUCAACAAAAUCAUUCGUAAGGCCAGUGAUGUUGUGAGGAUGGAACUGGACUCUCUGACGGUGGUGUCUGAAGAGAGGAUGGUGUCUAAGUUGCAUGCCAUCUUGGACAAUGUCUCCCAUCCAUUACAUAAUGUACUGGGUGGGCACAGGAGUACAUUCAGCCAGAGACUCAUUCCACCGAGAUGCAACACUGAGCGUCAUAGCAAGUCAUUCCUGCCUGUGGCCAUCAAACUUUACAACUCCUCCCUUGGAGGGUCAGACACCUUGAGCCAAUAGUCUGGUCCUGGACUUAUUUCCUGGCAUAAUUUACAGACUACUAUUUAAUUAUUUCUGGUUUUAUCACUAUUAUUUAAGGUGCAACUGUAACGAAAACCAAUUUCCCUUGGGAUCAAUAAAGUAUGACUAUGACUAUAUGUAAAACAGAACAAUGCCA
This is a long non-coding RNA of Mobula hypostoma (lesser devil ray), 1234 nucleotides long. RefSeq lists it as uncharacterized. The record is from RefSeq and is a predicted model, not a curated record. The transcript is spliced from 3 exons. Lineage: Eukaryota; Metazoa; Chordata; Chondrichthyes; Myliobatiformes; Myliobatidae.